Molecule: ribosomal RNA, 465 nt
Filed under: Vreelandella stevensii
Lineage: Bacteria; Pseudomonadati; Pseudomonadota; Gammaproteobacteria; Oceanospirillales; Halomonadaceae
Description: partial 16S ribosomal RNA
Rfam family: Bacterial small subunit ribosomal RNA
Source: RNAcentral
CCUACGGGUGGCUGCAGUGGGGAAUAUUGGACAAUGGGGGGAACCCUGAUCCAGCCAUGCCGCGUGUGUGAAGAAGGCCCUCGGGUUGUAAAGCACUUUCAGUGAGGAAGAACGCCUGGUGGUUAAUACCCAUCAGGAAAGACAUCACUCACAGAAGAAGCACCGGCUAACUCCGUGCCAGCAGCCGCGGUAAUACGGAGGGUGCGAGCGUUAAUCGGAAUUACUGGGCGUAAAGCGCGCGUAGGUGGCUUGAUAAGCCAGUUGUGAAAGCCCCGGGCUCAACCUGGGAACGGCAUCCGGAACUGGCAAGCUAGAGUGCAGGAGAGGAAGGUAGAAUUCCCGGUGUAGCGGUGAAAUGCGUAGAGAUCGGGAGGAAUUCCAGUGGCGAAGGCGGCCUUCUGGACUGACACUGACACUGAGGUGCGAAAGCGUGGGUAGCAAACAGGAUUAGAUACCCUAGUAGUC